AUUGAACGCUGGCGGCAGGCCUAACACAUGCAAGUCGAGCGGAUGAAGGGAGCUUGCUCCUGGAUUCAGCGGCGGACGGGUGAGUAAUGCCUAGGAAUCUGCCUGGUAGUGGGGGAUAACGUCCGGAAACGGGCGCUAAUACCGCAUACGUCCUGAGGGAGAAAGUGGGGGAUCUUCGGACCUCACGCUAUCAGAUGAGCCUAGGUCGGAUUAGCUAGUUGGUGGGGUAAAGGCCUACCAAGGCGACGAUCCGUAACUGGUCUGAGAGGAUGAUCAGUCACACUGGAACUGAGACACGGUCCAGACGACUACGGGAGGCAGCAGUGGGGAAUAUUGGACAAUGGGCGAAAGCCUGAUACAGCCAUGCCGCGUGUGUGAAGAAGGUCUUCGGAUUGUAAAGCACUUUAAGUUGGGAGGAAGGGCAGUAAGUUAAUACCUUGCUGUUUUGACGUUACCAACAGAAUAAGCACCGGCUAACUUCGUG
RNAcentral lists this ribosomal RNA (484 nucleotides) under uncultured bacterium. RNAcentral's name for it is "partial 16S ribosomal RNA". It matches the Rfam family "Bacterial small subunit ribosomal RNA", at positions 30 to 507 of the family's 1533-position model. The record is from RNAcentral.